UUAAGCGACUAAGCGUACACGGUGGAUGCCCUGGCAGUCAGAGGCGAUGAAGGACGUGCUAAUCUGCGAAAAGCGUCGGUAAGGUGAUAUGAACCGUUAUAACCGGCGAUGUCCGAAUGGGGAAACCCAGUGCAAUUCGUUGCACUAUCGUUAACUGAAUACAUAGGUUAACGAGGCGAACCGGGGGAACUGAAACAUCUAAGUACCCCGAGGAAAAGAAAUCAACCGAGAUUCCCCCAGUAGCGGCGAGCGAACGGGGAGCAGCCCAGAGUCUGAAUCAGCUUGUGUGUUAGUGGAACGGUCUGGAAAGUCCGACGGUACAGGGUGAUAGUCCCGUACACCAAAAUGCACAGGUUGUGAACUCGAAGAGUAGGGCGGGACACGUGGUAUCCUGUCUGAAUAUGGGGGGACCAUCCUCCAAGGCUAAAUACUCCUGACUGACCGAUAGUGAACCAGUACCGUGAGGGAAAGGCGAAAAGAACCCCGGCGAGGGGAGUGAAAAAGAACCUGAAACCGUGUACGUACAAGCAGUGGGAGCACCUUCGGGUGUGACUGCGUACCUUUUGUAUAAUGGGUCAGCGACUUAUAUUCUGUAGCAAGGUUAACCGUAUAGGGGAGCCGCAGGGAAACCGAGUCUUAACUGGGCGUUAAGUUGCAGGGUAUAGACCCGAAACCCGGUGAUCUAGCCAUGGGCAGGUUGAAGGUUGGGUAACACUAACUGGAGGACCGAACCGACUAAUGUUGAAAAAUUAGCGGAUGACUUGUGGCUGGGGGUGAAAGGCCAAUCAAACCGGGAGAUAGCUGGUUCUCCCCGAAAGCUAUUUAGGUAGCGCCUCGUGAACUCAUCUUCGGGGGUAGAGCACUGUUUCGGCUAGGGGGUCAUCCCGACUUACCAACCCGAUGCAAACUACGAAUACCGAAGAAUGUUAUCACGGGAGACACACGGCGGGUGCUAACGUCCGUCGUGAAGAGGGAAACAACCCAGACCGCCAGCUAAGGUCCCAAAGUCAUGGUUAAGUGGGAAACGAUGUGGGAAGGCACAGACAGCCAGGAUGUUGGCUUAGAAGCAGCCAUCAUUUAAAGAAAGCGUAAUAGCUCACUGGUCGAGUCGGCCUGCGCGGAAGAUGUAACGGGGCUAAACCAUGCACCGAAGCUGCGGCAGCGACACNNNNNNNNNNNNNNNNNNNNNNNNNNNNNNNNNNNNNCCUGUGAGGGUUGCUGGAGGUAUCAGAAGUGCGAAUGCUGACAUAAGUAACGAUAAAGCGGGUGAAAAGCCCGCUCGCCGGAAGACCAAGGGUUCCUGUCCAACGUUAAUCGGGGCAGGGUGAGUCGACCCCUAAGGCGAGGCCGAAAGGCGUAGUCGAUGGGAAACAGGUUAAUAUUCCUGUACUUGGUGUUACUGCGAAGGGGGGACGGAGAAGGCUAUGUUAGCCGGGCGACGGUUGUCCCGGUUUAAGCAUGUAGGCUGGUUAUCCAGGCAAAUCCGGAUAAUCAAGGCUGAGGUGUGAUGACGAGGCACUACGGUGCUGAAGUAACAAAUGCCCUGCUUCCAGGAAAAGCCUCUAAGCAUCAGGUAACAUCAAAUCGUACCCCAAACCGACACAGGUGGUCAGGUAGAGAAUACCAAGGCGCUUGAGAGAACUCGGGUGAAGGAACUAGGCAAAAUGGUGCCGUAACUUCGGGAGAAGGCACGCUGGUGUGUAGGUGAAGUCCCUGCGGAUGGAGCUGAGACCAGUCGAAGAUACCAGCUGGCUGCAACUGUUUAUUAAAAACACAGCACUGUGCAAACACGAAAGUGGACGUAUACGGUGUGACGCCUGCCCGGUGCCGGAAGGUUAAUUGAUGGGGUUAUCCGUAAGGAGAAGCUCUUGAUCGAAGCCCCGGUAAACGGCGGCCGUAACUAUAACGGUCCUAAGGUAGCGAAAUUCCUUGUCGGGUAAGUUCCGACCUGCACGAAUGGCGUAAUGAUGGCCAGGCUGUCUCCACCCGAGACUCAGUGAAAUUGAACUCGCUGUGAAGAUGCAGUGUACCCGCGGCAAGACGGAAAGACCCCGUGAACCUUUACUAUAGCUUGACACUGAACAUUGAGCCUUGAUGUGUAGGAUAGGUGGGAGGCUUUGAAGCGUGGACGCCAGUCUGCGUGGAGCCAACCUUGAAAUACCACCCUUUAAUGUUUGAUGUUCUAACGUGGGCCCCUGACCGGGGUUGCGGACAGUGUCUGGUGGGUAGUUUGACUGGGGCGGUCUCCUCCCAAAGCGUAACGGAGGAGCACGAAGGUUAGCUAAUCCUGGUCGGACAUCAGGAGGUUAGUGCAAUGGCAUAAGCUAGCUUGACUGCGAGCGUGACGGCGCGAGCAGGUGCGAAAGCAGGUCAUAGUGAUCCGGUGGUUCUGAAUGGAAGGGCCAUCGCUCAACGGAUAAAAGGUACUCCGGGGAUAACAGGCUGAUACCGCCCAAGAGUUCAUAUCGACGGCGGUGUUUGGCACCUCGAUGUCGGCUCAUCACAUCCUGGGGCUGAAGUAGGUCCCAAGGGUAUGGCUGUUCGCCAUUUAAAGUGGUACGCGAGCUGGGUUUAGAACGUCGUGAGACAGUUCGGUCCCUAUCUGCCGUGGGCGCUGGAGAAUUGAGGGGGGCUGCUCCUAGUACGAGAGGACCGGAGUGGACGCAUCACUGGUGUUCGGGUUGUCAUGCCAAUGGCACUGCCCGGUAGCUAAAUGCGGAAGAGAUAAGUGCUGAAAGCAUCUAAGCACGAAACUUGCCCCGAGAUGAGUUCUCCCUGAGACUUUAAGUCUCCUGAAGGAACGUUGAAGACGACGACGUUGAUAGGCCGGGUGUGUAAGCGCAGCGAUGCGUUGAGCUAACCGGUACUAAUGAACCGUGAGGCUUAACCUU
RNAcentral lists this ribosomal RNA (2891 nucleotides) under Klebsiella pneumoniae. RNAcentral describes it as "bacterial LSU rRNA". It matches the Rfam family "Bacterial large subunit ribosomal RNA". The record is from RNAcentral. RNAcentral also lists the same sequence under 1 other name. Lineage: Bacteria; Pseudomonadati; Pseudomonadota; Gammaproteobacteria; Enterobacterales; Enterobacteriaceae.